RNAcentral lists this ribosomal RNA (518 nucleotides) under uncultured bacterium. RNAcentral describes it as "bacterial SSU rRNA". It matches the Rfam family "Bacterial small subunit ribosomal RNA", at positions 992 to 1509 of the family's 1533-position model. The record is from RNAcentral.
AGAACUUAGCAGAGAUGCUUUGGUGCCUUCGGGAACUCUGAGACAGGUGCUGCAUGGCUGUCGUCAGCUCGUGUUGUGAAAUGUUGGGUUAAGUCCCGCAACGAGCGCAACCCUUUAUCCUUUGUUGCCAGCGGUCCGGCCGGGAACUCAAAGGAGACUGCCAGUGAUAAACUGGAGGAAGGUGGGGAUGACGUCAAGUCAUCAUGGCCCUUACGAGUAGGGCUACACACGUGCUACAAUGGCGCAUACAAAGAGAAGCGACCUCGCGAGAGCAAGCGGACCUCAUAAAGUGCGUCGUAGUCCGGAUUGGAGUCUGCAACUUGACUCCAUGAAGUCGGAAUCGCUAGUAAUCGUAGAUCAGAAUGCUACGGUGAAUACGUUCCCGGGCCUUGUACACACCGCCCGUCACACCAUGGGAGUGGGUUGCAAAAGAAGUAGGUAGCUUAACCUUCGGGAGGGCGCUUACCACUUUGUGAUUCAUGACUGGGGUGAAGUCGUAACAAGGUAAGCGUAGCGAG